UUGUGUACAAUGAAUAUUCCUUGGUUUCUCUUUGCUAUAAGUAUAAAACAUGUACAUACAAAAAUUACAUGUCAGAUAUUAUGCAUAUCUUUUCUUUAAUGUUUCAGUAUUAAAAAGGAUCCUGAGUUCAACCACACAAGACGGGUAUUAGAAGCGAAGCGAAAGGCAUUAAAGUCAUUGGGCAAGGGCAGUAAGCCAAACAGAGCUGAACCUUUGACGACUGAGGAAAUCCAAAUCUUGAGGGAGAAAGGCGUUAUUGGAACACAAAACCCUGAUGCAUUACUGAAUGCUGUGUUUUUAAAUAAUGCAACAUACUUUGGUCUACGAGGUCGACAAGACCAUGUUAACAUGACAUGGGGAGAUGUCAAGUUAAAAGCUACAUCUGAUGGAAAGGAGUAUUUGGAAUUUAAUGAAAGAAGCACCAAAACCCGUAGUGGAGCAAAAAGCAGGGAUUUCCGGGAUA
Molecule: long non-coding RNA, 463 nt
Organism: Mytilus trossulus (common blue mussel)
Lineage: Eukaryota; Metazoa; Mollusca; Bivalvia; Mytilida; Mytilidae
Exons: 3
Source: RefSeq, a predicted model, not a curated record